GGAUCCAUAGCUCAAUGGUUACAGCGUCGGUCUACGGAACCGAAGAUUCGGGGUUCGAGUCCCCGUGGAUUCG
This 73-nucleotide transfer RNA is filed under the name Spraguea lophii 42_110. It matches the Rfam family "tRNA". From Rfam's summary of the family: Transfer RNA (tRNA) molecules are approximately 80 nucleotides in length. Their secondary structure includes four short double-helical elements and three loops (D, anti-codon, and T loops). Further hydrogen bonds mediate the characteristic L-shaped molecular structure. tRNAs have two regions of fundamental functional importance: the anti-codon, which is responsible for specific mRNA codon recognition, and the 3' end, to which the tRNAs corresponding amino acid is attached (by aminoacyl-tRNA synthetases). tRNAs cope with the degeneracy of the genetic code in two manners: having more than one tRNA (with a specific anti-codon) for a particular amino acid; and 'wobble' base-pairing, i.e. permitting non-standard base-pairing at the 3rd anti-codon position. The record is from Rfam by way of RNAcentral. Lineage: Eukaryota; Fungi; Microsporidia; Spragueidae.